RNAcentral lists this transfer RNA (95 nucleotides) under Kitasatospora phosalacinea. RNAcentral's name for it is "tRNA-Gln". The record is from RNAcentral. Lineage: Bacteria; Bacillati; Actinomycetota; Actinomycetes; Kitasatosporales; Streptomycetaceae.
CUGCGGCCGGUGCCCCGGUCGGUGCCCCGGUUGUUGCGGCCGGUGCCUCGGUCGGUGCCCCGGCCGGUGCCCCGGUCGUCGCGGGGGCCGCGGAC